This 335-nucleotide unclassified non-coding RNA is filed under the name soil metagenome. RNAcentral's name for it is "partial contains 5.8S ribosomal RNA, internal transcribed spacer 2, and large subunit ribosomal RNA". The stretch from base 1 to 120 matches the Rfam family "5.8S ribosomal RNA", at positions 35 to 154 of the family's 154-position model. The record is from RNAcentral.
GAUGAAGAACGCAGCGAAAUGCGAUAAGUAAUGUGAAUUGCAGAAUUCAGUGAAUCAUCGAAUCUUUGAACGCACAUUGCGCCCGCCAGUAUUCUGGCGGGCAUGCCUGUUCGAGCGUCAUUUCAACCAUCAAGCCCCCGGCUUGUGUUGGGGACCUGCGGCUGCCGCAGGCCCUGAAAACCAGUGGCGGGCUCGCUAGUCACUCCGAGCGUAGUAAUACAUCUCGCUCAGGGCGUGCUGCGGGUUCCGGCCGUUAAAAAGCCUUAUUUACCCAAGGUUGACCUCGGAUCAGGUAGGAAGACCCGCUGAACUUAAGCAUAUCAAUAAGCGGCGGA